This 1680-nucleotide long non-coding RNA is filed under the name Brassica napus (rape). Its description in RNAcentral is "long non-coding RNA (BNAP_LNC006617)". The record is from RNAcentral. Lineage: Eukaryota; Viridiplantae; Streptophyta; Magnoliopsida; Brassicales; Brassicaceae.
CGCGUAGAAACUAGUAACUUUUAAUAUGCGAUAGUUAAGUAUGAUUUGUGGAGUUUAAUAAAGUACUAGUAAUUAAGUGUUACGAAAAUAAAAAUUAUAAAGUAGUAAUUAAGAAUAAAAAGAUUUUUGUAACUUCUAUCUCCUCUCUCCUCUCAACUUCUCUCUAACUCUCGAAUCUCGUCGUUGCUCUGUUUAAGCUCCGGCGUCGGCCUCUCUCGCCGGCGUCGGAGGCGCCUCUUAACUUUGUAUCCUCGUUUUCUCUUUGCUAGCUCUUACUCUUCCAGUCCUCGCCGAUAUGCUGCGUUCUCUGGUGUUCUUGUGCCUCCGUCGUCGUCCUGCUCAUGAAGGACACCGGCUUAUGGAGGAUAAGACUUUCUGGAUUUCAAGUGAGGCGGGUAUUCUGUACUAGUGAGGUUAGUCGGCUUUUGGGGUCGGGGUUCGCCGGUUUCGUUUUCUCCUUAGAUCUCCGGCGGGCCUCUGCGAAUGGCGGCGCGUGACUCCGUGUGGCGUCUCCUCUGCCACAGAUCCGUUCUUCAGCAGCGUCUUAUCAUCUCAUCUUGUUUGGUGGAGUGGGGCGGUGGCGCGUGACUAUCACUCCAGCUUGGUGUCUCGCCGGAGUUGACUCACACCGCUAUCUCCCAGGAGGUUUCCGAGUGGGUUAUCCAGAAGGACGCGUCCAGUUUUUGGGGUCUCUUCGCGUGUCGAGUCCUGGACUCUGAGUCCGACGUGUGCGUGUCUUCAGCUACGGCGUUCGAUGGCGUGUCGUCUAUGGCUUCGUCUCUGCCGUUGGUUGGGUUGCUUCCUCCUUGUUCUGCUCUGGUCACGGUGCCCUCGUGUUGCUCUCAUGGCGUGUCGUCGCGAAGGCCGUCGUUGAGUCUCUGGUGUCCUGUCUUUGGCGUCAUCUCCUUGUCCAGGUCACGGUGUUUGGGAUGGCUCCUGUUUGAGUCUGACAGUCUUCUGGUUCUCAGGAGCUGACCAUGGCAAGCUCUACUUAUCUCCUCUUUGUCAUUGGGAGUGUGUGGAUCUUGGUGGUCUCCAUGGUUUUGAGCGUAACUUCCCAGCACUAGGGUUCUAAGAGUUCUAGUGGUUGCUUUCUUCCGGCUCGGAUUCAGGCCCGGACCAGUAACACGUGGUGGUGCAGCGGUUCUUCAGCCCAUUUUUAGGUAACUAUUUCUUUUCUUUUUCAGCUUUCGGAGAUCGAGCUUCAUUGUCUACGAAUAGGCCUCUAGUUGGUGAUUAGGAGGUGAUUCUCUCGAUUCUCCGUGAUGAGGAUUCUGUCGAGAAAGAUCGACCAGUUGAGGAUGGCGGUUCCCCUCGACACUAACGGUUGGACUAGAUUUGUAGUGUCUCUCCUAUACGAUUUGAAGACAGAAGCGUCACGUGGAGCGCACAUCUGUGUGUCGGCGAUUUUUUAGAGAGAAAACGGAUUUGCAGUGGCCGGUUUGACUUAGGUUAAGUCGGCGUCGUUGGCCGCGGAUCUUUGUCGAGGAUAGGGAUCGUAUACGAACCCUUGAGACCUUGAUUUUUUCCCUCCCACUGUAUAUUUUGAUUUUCUCUCCUUGAUUAUAGCUAUAAGCCUAAUCUAUUUGUGUACUCCACUGUUUCUCCGAUCACCACCCGGAGGUUCUGUUCCGGUGCCCCUCUACGGGUAGAUUUUUAUAAAUGAAUAUAUAUUUAAAA